Non-coding RNA from Salmo salar (Atlantic salmon), 523 nucleotides. Lineage: Eukaryota; Metazoa; Chordata; Actinopteri; Salmoniformes; Salmonidae. The record is from RefSeq and is a predicted model, not a curated record.
ACAGACACAAACCAACAACUGAGAUAACAGCAGACUUUACAGCAGUAGAAGUUACAGCAGUAGAAGUUACAACAGUAGAAGUUACAGCAGUAGAAGUUACAACAGUAGAAGUUACAACAGUAGAAGUUACAGCAGUAGAAGUUACAACAGUAGAAGUUACAACAGUAGAAGUUACAACAGUAGAAGUUACAACAGUAGAAGUUACAGCAGGAGAAGUUACAACAGAAGUUACAAGACUAGCAGUUACGAGUUGAAGACAAAUAACCUAAUUAAAUAAAUACCAUGGAUAUUGAUGAUUGUAUAUAUGCCAAUCAAAGACCCAUAAAGCCCCGCAAGAAGGAUGGAGUGGGUGAUCAACAUUCAGGGUUUUGUCAGUGGUGGAAGAGAUACUCUGGAGCUGCUGCAGUGUGUCUGGGGCUGCUGUGUGUUAUACUGGCUGGGAUCAUAGGCCUGUUACUCUACCAGAGAAACCAACUGACCAGUUAUAACAGCCUGACCAAUGAGCGAGACCAGUUACAGACCA